Thunnus maccoyii (southern bluefin tuna) is the source of this 594-nucleotide long non-coding RNA. RefSeq lists it as uncharacterized. The transcript has 3 exons. Lineage: Eukaryota; Metazoa; Chordata; Actinopteri; Scombriformes; Scombridae. The record is from RefSeq and is a predicted model, not a curated record.
UGAGUGACAGGUGGUGCUGUCACAGGUGGCUAGCUAACUGCUAGCUGUCUGGUAGGCGUCACCUCAGCUAAUUUGAGUCCCUGUUGGAGUCACUGAACCUGACCUCUUGGCCGUGUUUGUGGUGUUGAUGCCUUUUGGAGAAUUUUCUGUGCAAAUAUUGAACAAAUAAUAUGGCUUGCUGUGCAGUAGAUUGUACUAACACACUGUCCCAGAAGUCCGUGCUCCAGUUUUUUUUGUUUGCUCUAGGUGAUCCAGACAGGCUUGACCAGUGGAUGAUCAACAUGAGAAGACAGAACUGGACUCCAGGGGAAAGACAUGCAAGAAGGACACCACUGUGCCUACUAUUUUCUCUUUCUCCGAGGGCAAAGAAGAACAGCCAGAACAACAUCAUUUGUUUCACAAGAUAUUAAGAUUUUGCCAAAUUAUAACACUGGGUUCUUAUCCAUAGGUUCUAUCAUGAUAAUUACUAGUACAACAGUUACACAUCUUUUCAUGUAUUUAAAGUGUACUUAAGUCAUACAAAACAACUUUUAAAUUUGUAACCUUUAAUAUGAAUGUUUUCAUGAAUGCAAUAUUUAACUUUACAUUGUUAAA